Mus musculus (house mouse) is the source of this 320-nucleotide non-coding RNA. The record is from Rfam. NCBI's taxonomy places the organism in Eukaryota, Metazoa, Chordata, Mammalia, Rodentia, Muridae.
GGAUGCAAGGGGGGCCUGGCUGCAAUAUCUGUCACCUCAUUGAUCACCGGGGUUUGUUUAGAUGUUCUAACUCAAUAAGCAGUGACCCGUUCCUCCCUCACACGCUCUUGGCCAAAGAGGAUGAAGAGCCCACAGAGAUGAAGGUCUCAGUCAAUCGUACACAAGUAGCUGUGUAUCCCCAGUAGAACCUCCAAACGAGCUCUCAUCUCCUUGGAUGUAACAGAAUCUUCCGUAUAUUUAGUGUGAUAGUUUGAAUAAGCAAAGUCCACUUGUGGGCUCAUACUUUGAAAGCUCUGUAGCUUGUGGUACUGCUUGUGGAG